Molecule: non-coding RNA, 892 nt
Organism: Leptonychotes weddellii (Weddell seal)
Lineage: Eukaryota; Metazoa; Chordata; Mammalia; Carnivora; Phocidae
Source: RefSeq, a predicted model, not a curated record
UCUCCCCGUGGCUGCCCCUCCCUGGUCCUGAUCUAGCUGGCACCACCAGGGUCUUGAACUUGACAGUGGACUUGUCCAUUUCCAGCGCCAGACCAUAAGCCUCUUGAAGGCAGGGAUUGUCUCUGUUCAGCAUGUAGCCCCAAAGGGCCCAGCACCUGACAUUAGAAUAAUGUACAAUCAAUAUUUGUUGGAAAAAAAGCGGAUACAUUAGCUAAAUACAAACAGAACUGCCGCUUGCCUUUUCAUGAAUAAAGCCAGCUUUAGGAGCAACCGGACUUACAGCUGGGAGGGCAUAGAGGCAAAUUCGGUCUUAAAUUAAGCACACUCAUUUUGCUUAAUGUCUUUUGCUUCUUGGAAAAUUGUCCCAGAGCCAGCAAAACGAGACUUUUUUCUUUUCUUUUGGCCCUAAAUUAUUUCUGAAAGUUACAGCAUUUUAGAUUUGUAUUGUUUUAUUAGCUGUCAUUUUUAUUCAUGCCCUCCUUUGUUUCGCUCUCUUUCUCUGGACCUCUUCCUGGUUUAGCUUGACGGAGCCUCCGCUAAGCUGUUCCUCAUAUGGAAAGUUGUCUCUUCAUCAGCACGCCAUAAAUAAUCAAACCUGGCUGGAAAAAAAAAAAUGGCUUUACCAGAUUAAGCGGUAGCUCUCCUGUUCUCUUUUGGGAAGGCCUCAGCCAAAUCGUGAAGGAAGGAAAAUUCGUGUUACCCCUCAGCUUUGGGGCCCAUGCACAUCUCCUCAGCUGCGCCCCUGCCGCCCAACAGUACCGCAUGGACAAUGAUCCACAGUGACAGAGACAUCUUUUCAACCCAGUACACACAUGGAUACGCACACAGACAGACCUAUAAUCCAGACGGAAGCUUGACUUCGUGAAAAUAAUACAGUGAAUGUAAUAAUUUA